AGAGAAUAGAUACCCCGGUAGUCCCAGCCGUAAACGAUGCUCGCUAGGUGUCAGGCAUGGCGCGACCGUGUCUGGUGCCGCAGGGAAGCCGUGAAGCGAGCCACCUGGGAAGUACGGCCGCAAGGCUGAAACUUAAGGGAAUUGGCGGGGGAGCACAACAACGGGUGGAGCCUGCGGUUUAAUUGGACUCAACGCCGGACAACUCACCGGGGGCGACAGCAAUAUGUAGGCCAAGCUGAAGACUUUGCCUGAAUCGCUGAGAGGAGGUGCAUGGCCGUCGCCAGUUCGUACUGUGAAGCAUCCUGUUAAGUCAGGCGACGAGCGAGACCCGUGCCCACUGUUACCAGCAUGUCCUCCGGGACGAUGGGUACUCUGUGGGGACCGCCUAUGUUAAAUAGGAGGAAGGUGCGGGCCACGGUAGGUCAGUAUGCCCCGAAUCUCCCGGGCUACACGCGGGCUACAAUGGAUGGGACAAUGGGUCCCUACUCCGAAAGGAGCUGGUAAUCUCACAAACCCAUUCGUAGUUCGGAUCGAGGGCU
This 539-nucleotide ribosomal RNA is filed under the name uncultured bacterium. RNAcentral's name for it is "bacterial SSU rRNA". It matches the Rfam family "Archaeal small subunit ribosomal RNA", at positions 724 to 1262 of the family's 1478-position model. The record is from RNAcentral.